CCUGACGGCCAUAGCAGGGCGGCCCCACUCCUUCCCAUUCCGAACAGGACAGUGAAACGCCUUUGCGCCGAUGAUAGUCAGUUGUAUUUCUGGUGAAAGUAGGUCACCGUCAGGC
RNAcentral lists this ribosomal RNA (115 nucleotides) under Mesosutterella faecium. Lineage: Bacteria; Pseudomonadati; Pseudomonadota; Betaproteobacteria; Burkholderiales; Sutterellaceae. The record is from RNAcentral.